This 64-nucleotide transfer RNA is filed under the name Schistocephalus solidus. RNAcentral describes it as "tRNA-Leu2". Lineage: Eukaryota; Metazoa; Platyhelminthes; Cestoda; Diphyllobothriidea; Diphyllobothriidae. RNAcentral also lists the same sequence under 1 other name. The record is from RNAcentral.
GUGGUUAUGUCAGAAGUAUAUGAGUUAGCUUUAAGCGUUAAUUAUGGAAAAUUUCCUAAUCACU